UCGGCGGCGGCAAUGGCGGCCUCGCUCCCAAACGACGUCCUCUUCGAGAUCCUGCUCCGACUGAACGACGCGGCGGACCUCUUCCGCUGCGCCGCCGCGUGCAAGCGACUGCGCGGCCUCGUCACCGAUCCAUCCUUCCUCCGGCGCAGGUGGCCGGAGCACGAGCGCCCAUCCUUGGCCGGAUUGUUCAUCAAGGAUCGGGGCCGUUAUCAAGGGUCCAAGGUGCUCGUCCCGACGCCGCGGUCCGAGCUGGGUCCAGGCCGCCGCCGUGCCCUCGGCUCCUUCGUUCCCGGCGUCUCUGGAGACCUAUUAUACCACGCGGUGCCGCUCUUCUCCAUCGUGACCGGCGACGACGAGGAACCACGGGGCAAUUCGCCGCUCUUCAAAGUGAUGGUCAUCACCGUCAGCUGCAAGGACGACCUCAAGUUCUACCUUAACACGUUCUCGUCCGACGAACCGAGCUGGAGCGCCAUGCGCACGGUGUCCUUUGGCGCUACCAUAGAUGCCAACGCCUCCGGGUCGUUCUGCCACAGUGAUGCCGUCGUGCGCCACGGCACCGCGCACUGGCUAUUUCGUAACGAGACGGCACGAUGUUUCUGCCUUGUUGAGGUGAACGCCCAGAACGGCCAUGUCUCCUUCACGAGGCUCCCCGUCCCGAUGAUGACCGAAGUAGAUUACCCGUGCCUUUGCUCAGCCACCGAUGGCACGCUCUCGGUGCUACACAUGCAAUGGCAAGGUUCCCAUAUAGAGAUAUGGAAACGACGGGAGGACCAACAGAGCGUGCGUACUGCCUCAGAAUGGCUCCGCACUGGGACGAUCGAGCUAAUACAGCCUAGAAAAGAGACUCAAGAAAGGUUAUACAUUGUGGGAGAGAAGUAUGGUAAAUUGAUCGCCAAGGACAGGCGCGGACGCGUGUACACCGGCAACCUCUCGACCGGGGUAAUGGAGGAGGUGGUGGAUUGGCCUCGCAUGUGCCACAUCAACACGCCCAAUGUUGUGCCCUUGGAGAUGGAUUGGCCAGCGUUCUUUGUUUCUCGUCUUGGU
This 1044-nucleotide ribosomal RNA is filed under the name Triticum aestivum (bread wheat). RNAcentral's name for it is "partial small subunit ribosomal RNA". Lineage: Eukaryota; Viridiplantae; Streptophyta; Magnoliopsida; Poales; Poaceae. The record is from RNAcentral.